GCGGCAACGGCCUGUCAG
RNAcentral lists this unclassified non-coding RNA (18 nucleotides) under Chlamydomonas reinhardtii. RNAcentral's name for it is "small RNA Cre_1751". The record is from RNAcentral. Lineage: Eukaryota; Viridiplantae; Chlorophyta; Chlorophyceae; Chlamydomonadales; Chlamydomonadaceae.